AAAGGAAUAGACGGGGGCCCGCACAAGCAGCGGAGCAUGUGGUUUAAUUCGAAGCAACGCGAAGAACCUUACCAGGACUUGACAUCGUCUGAAUCAUCCGUAAUGGGAAAAGUCCUUCGGGACAGACAGACAGGUGGUGCAUGGUUGUCGUCAGCUCGUGUCGUGAGAUGUUGGGUUAAGUCCCGCAACGAGCGCAACCCUUAUUGCUAGUUGCCAUCAUUAAGUUGGGCACUCUAGUGAGACUGCCGGAGACAAUUCGGAGGAAGGUGGGGAUGACGUCAAAUCAUCAUGCCCCUUAUGUUCUGGGCUACACACGUGCUACAAUGGGUGUAACAACGGGAAGCGAGCUGGUGACAGCAAGCCAACCUCUAAAAAGCACCCUCAGUUCGGAUUGCAGGCUGAAACCCGCCUGCAUGAAGUUGGAGUUGCUAGUAAUCGCGAAUCAGCAUGUCGCGGUGAAUACGUUCCCGGGCCUUGUACACACCGCCCGU
Molecule: ribosomal RNA, 491 nt
Filed under: uncultured bacterium
Lineage: Bacteria
Description: bacterial SSU rRNA
Rfam family: Bacterial small subunit ribosomal RNA
Source: RNAcentral